AGGGAAUCUUGCGCAAUGGGCGAAAGCCUGACGCAGCAACGCCGCGUGGGGGAUGAAGGCUCUCGGGUUGUAAACCCCUUUCAGCAGGGACGAAAUUGACGGUACCUGCAGAAGAAGCCCCGGCCAACUACGUGCCAGCAGCCGCGGUAACACGUAGGGGGCAAGCGUUGUCCGGAUUUAUUGGGCGUAAAGAGCUCGUAGGCGGUUCAGUAAGUCGGGUGUGAAAACUUAGGGCUCAACCCUGAGACGCCACUCGAUACUGCUGUGACUAGAGUCCGGUAGGGGAGCGUGGAAUUCCUGGUGUAGUGGUGGAAUACGCAGAUAUCAGGAGGAACACCAGCGGCGAAGGCGGCGCUCUGGGCCGGAACUGACGCUGAGGAGCGAAAGCGUGGGUAGCAAAC
RNAcentral lists this ribosomal RNA (401 nucleotides) under uncultured bacterium. RNAcentral describes it as "bacterial SSU rRNA". It matches the Rfam family "Bacterial small subunit ribosomal RNA", at positions 356 to 773 of the family's 1533-position model. The record is from RNAcentral.